AUACGUAGGUGGCGAGCGUUAUCCGGAUUUACUGGGUGUAAAGGGCGCGUAGGCGGGAAUGCAAGUCAGGUGUGAAAUCUAGGGGCUCAACCCCUAAACUGCACUUGAAACUGCGUUUCUUGAGUGUCGGAGGGGUUGACGGAAUUCCUAGUGUAGCGGUGAAAGGCGUAGAUAUUAGGAGGAACACCAGUGGCGAAGGCGGGUAACUGGACUGCAACUGACGCUGAGGCGCGAAAGUGUGGGGAGCAAACAGGAUUAGAUACCCUGGUAGUCCACACUGUAAACGAUGAAUGCUAGGUGUAAGAGGUAUCGACCCCUUUUGUGCCGGAGUCAACACAAUAAGCAUUCCGCCUGGGGAGUACGGCCGCAAGGUUGAAACUCAAAGGAAUUGACGGGG
Molecule: ribosomal RNA, 397 nt
Filed under: uncultured bacterium
Lineage: Bacteria
Description: partial 16S ribosomal RNA
Rfam family: Bacterial small subunit ribosomal RNA
Source: RNAcentral